RNAcentral lists this long non-coding RNA (16816 nucleotides) under Ananas comosus (pineapple). Its description in RNAcentral is "long non-coding RNA (ACOM_LNC029161)". The record is from RNAcentral. Lineage: Eukaryota; Viridiplantae; Streptophyta; Magnoliopsida; Poales; Bromeliaceae.
GACUCUAGAAUGAGUAGAAUGCUUAAUUGGACAAUUAGUAUGUGAAUUAGAUCGAGUGGCAUCUAACUUAGUGUUAAGGAACAUAGGUCGUGAGUAGACCUAUAAUCAAAUAGAUCGAGUGGCAUCUAACCUAGUGUUAUUAAACAUAGGUCGUGAAAUGAAAAGUACUUAACCUAGAGUCAAGUGAACCAAGGUUAGAAAGAAUAAUGAUCCUAGUGUAAUAAACCUAGGUUAAGAAUGUGAAAGCAAUAAAUCUAAUGGGUGAACUUAGGUUGAGUAAAGGCUUAGACCUAGAGAGGUCAGUUCCAUAGGGUUAAGACCAACCCCUAUGUGAUCUGAAAUGGAUUCCGGAAUCCCAAGGCUAAAAGGAUACACCCAAAGUGGUGUCGGGUGUGUGCGAUGAUUGCGCCGCCCAAGGGCUAAAGAACCUUUGUCGUGGCGUGUGCGACGAUUUCGCCGCCGGAUGGUUAGCCAGUUUGUGGAUCCUACCGCCUGUUGACUGAACCACUGUCGUGGUGUUUGUGCGACGAUUUCGCCGCCGGGUGGCUAAGUCAUGGACCUAGGCCGUUGUUGGGUGAGGUGCGAUUCGUCCGCCGCCAGACGGCUAGGACAGGAGUACGGUGAGCUGUUGCCAGCUGAGGUGCAUGUGAGAGUUCCUUCACCUCGAGCUAGACAGUGCGCGGACUAUCCGCGAUUGAUUGACUCAAGACCGAGUCGGGUGGCAUAGAGAACUAAGGUAAGAGAAACCUUAGGAAAGAAUGGCCAGUAGAAAAGUGCGACAAAGUGUAAAGAAUAAAGAAUAAGUAAAGAAUAAAGUUCGGCUAAGGAAUAAGAAUAGCUGAUUAGUAAAGAAAGGUUACAAGUAAAGAAUAGCUAAGAGCUAAAAGUAAUUAAAUGACAAGAGUAAAGAAUGAUUAAGAAUAUAAGUAGCGUUAAAGUAACCUACUUGCAUGAUUACAGGUAUUGCAUAUUGCAUUUCGUGAGGCAUGACAUGUAUUUCAAUUGAAUAUAUAUAUCUGUUGUAUAUUGUUGAACUAACAUGUUGCAGUGCCUCGUUAGACCUGUUGGUUGAGCUGGUUCUCUUGGGUGGCUAAACCCACUGAGGACUAUGGACAAUAGUCUCACCCCCGUGUUGCUGUUUUGGGGGUACAGGUACACACGUGUGCGGCGCGGCGGCGCAAGGCGAGGGCGUAGUUCUGCAGAUAGCGCCCUACCCCAGAGACCAGAGCUAGCAGUACCCCAUCUAUAUAGCUUAGGGGUAAAGGAAAUGAAAAGAAUACAAUGUAUCAAACUUGUAGUAAGUAAAUGUUGUAAUAACUUAGAUUGCAUUUGGAUGAAAAAGAAUGGAAACUGUGAUGUAAAAACUAUGAAAGUGAAUGAAUGUAAUAACUUAGGAUGUGUUUAUGUUGUAUGAUACCUUCCACUUGAAAUCUUGAUUGAUAUCCGUUCCUGGUUGGAACCUUCGUGAAUUGUAUUGAUUGCGAUGCUUUGAAUGUACAGGGGAGACUCUGUCCGUAGUACAAGGGAAACCUUGUCCAUUCGGCGAUGUCGGCGGCGCCGGGACCUUGGCCAAAUAGGCGGGUGGUCGCGGGCUGUGACAGUUGUGGUAUCAGAGCAUAAAGUAGAGAAUGGGAAUGGCUUAGACUGACCUAGGAGACCCUAGGAUAGUAAAACCAUAGAAGAAUAAGGCUCGUGAGAGACGAGGACUCAUGAUUCGUGGCGAAAGGUUAAUGGAUUGGGUUGUGUUGUAAACCUCUAAGACGGAUAUUAGAGGUAGACUCGAGGUGUUGUUUAUUCUCAGCCAAGGAUGUUCAUGUUGGGCGUACGACAACAUGAAACCGAGUGAUGUGAAUAAACACCCUUGCGUGACUUUCGCCUGAUUGGCUUUUGAGCCGGUGUUAGUGGUCUCGUGUUCGACCCAAGUUGGUCGAGAACUAAUCGAGUUGUCGUGUUUCAGGAAGCGAUGGCACCGCGUAGGCGAUCUUCUUCCAGAUCGGCGCGGGAGGGGACAAGUGGUGUUCCCGAGCAAGUCGACGCGAGCGAAGGCGCAGAGCUUCGUGAUCAGUUGGCCACACUCAUUGGAGUGAUGAGGCAACAAGCUGAUGUGGUGCAGAGGCAGCAGGAGGCUGCUAUGCGCCAGGAAGAGCGAAUGGAAAGACUCCAAGAAACGGUGGACCAGCUGGUGGGUGCACCAGCUGCGGCUCGUCGAGAACGGCCGGGAGUCGCGGCGGAGAUGUUCCCGUCGGGGUCGGGCGAUCCGACUCCUGUUAGUUCAGAGGUGGCGGCAGAAAGGGAGCGAGCUUUGGCUGCCCUCAUGGCUUUCAAGAAAUUUGAUCCGCCUACCUUCGAUGGUGAGGAUCCAGAUCCGUGGAUCGUGGAGAUGUGGAUUGAUGCCAUGGAAACGCUCUUCGAGGAUCUGUACACGUUGGAGCGAGACAAGGUAAACCUAGUCGCGCAUUAUCUCAAACAGUCGACGAAGGUGUAGUGGAAAGGCGUCAAGCAUGAUCGACCGCCUAGUCUCCCUCCUAUGACGUGGGAAGAAUUUCGGGGAUUGGUGUUCUCUGCUUAUUUCCCCGAUAGCGAGAAGCGGAAGCUCAAGGAAAGGUUCCUUAAGCUGCGGCAAGGAAGUCGCACGGUCAGGCAAUAGGAGCGGGAGUUUUUCCGUAUCGUGCAUUGUAUCCCAAACGUGGUGCGAGAUGACAAGGACAGGGCCGACUGCUUCGUGCGUGGACUUCAGCCAGAUCUUUACCAGGCGGUGCUGGUACUCAAGUUGCAGAUUUUUGCUGAAGUCCUGGAUCGGGCCUUGUGGAUAGAACAGGGCAACGCCUUUAUGCGGGAAGAGCGAGAGGCAUAUUACAAGGAAAAGGGGAAAGGACGACCGACAGGUGGAUCCAGUAGUCAGUCAAGUUCCCAACGGACUUUGACGAGUUCGCACUCGCGAUCCCGAGCUCCGGGGACAUACCGCAUUCAGUCCUCGGCGAAAUGUGCUAUUUGUGGAGGCCCUCAUUUCCCACGACAGUGUGAGCAACGUGAAGGCAAGUACUUCAAGUGUGGGCUGCCGGGUCAUAUGUGGGACGAGUGUCCGCGUGGUGACGGCCGGGCCUUGACACUGGCGACGGCCCAUCCCUCUCUGGGACAACCUGCAGGUGUGCCACCUGCGGCAUGGUCGGGAGAGCGGCCGUUGAGGACGAUGCAACCAGAGGGUUCGCGACGAGCGCCAGGUGGGCAUCGGUAAGCGACCCGAGUUGCAGAGCCUGCCGUUGCUGACGUCAUCGUGGCAGGUAUGAGUUAAUUGAGCAAGCAUGUGCUUUUACUAAUCUCAAGUUGGUGCAUAGCAUGCAUUUGUUGUUGGUCGGUUGCUACUAAUUAUAUAUUGCAUAGUAGGGACCGAAUAGUCGGGUAAGUAGACGCCCGUACAUGCUUGCAUUGUGAGAAGUGGCACCUGCUGGUGCAAGUAGAAAGCCAAGUGGUGCUAGCUAAUGGCUAGUGAUGAUUCUCCGGUACGGAAUGAGGCUCGUGGAGAACAUGGUCUAGUAAGUGACUCUCGAAAUAAUGGGUUGAAAAUUGUGAGAGUUGAGCCUUGAUGUUGAGGAUACUCGAAAGACACGGGAGUUGAGAAUGUAUUCCGGUAGAUCGAACAGUGAAGGUAGAAUCACUGUUGAGAGAGUAACCGUAUAGUUGCCGAAUACGGGCACGUAGGCCUAGUAGUACCUCAAGUUGAGGUCGGCGAGUCCUGCUCGUGUAGUCGGUGUGCAUAGGCAAGGUUGCCUGAUGCUAGAUUUCGUGGAACGCUUUAGAGGCGUAGAGCGCUCGAGUGUAGUUACUCGUGAAGUGCGGUUUUGAUUCAGCCGGUUGAGUGAAUUGGCAGUAGCACUUUAGCAGGGCUAAGUGUGAAGCGGGCCAUGGAUCACUCGUAGGGCUGGUGGCUCGCACUAGGUACCUGGGGGCCGAUAGAGUGUGUAGCUCUGUAGAGCAUGUCGUUUAGGACGACGACGACGAGUGGUGCUUGAGGAUGACCCGUGCCUGGACCGUUUGUGAACUGUGUAGCCUGGGCCCAUUGGGCAGGCGCAGUCAGCUGUGAGAGACAGCGGCCCGAUACCUACUGGUAGGGCAUAGUGUUGGUCAGGACGGUAGUCCGAGCUUGGACAUAAGUACGUGGAAUGCCACGCGAUAGAUCGUGAGAUUGAUGGCACACCAAGUGUGUAGUGACCCAACCCGAGGACUUGACGUGGUCUAGGAUCUUGGUUGCACCUGGUUGGAGUGUGUGUGAAUUCUCCAAUGAGAAUUUCGCCCAAUGAUGAUUGGAUCUACGAUGCGGGCAAGAGACGCUAUGCGUAGUUGUGACAGGUAUAGGCGGUAGGCCUACGUAAUGAUUAUGAUCGUUGGUCCGCCUGUGAAAACCGAUGAUCAGUGCGGCAAGCAACUCUGUUAGUGAGUUGGGCUUGGAUUCACGAACGGAGGGUUCGUGUGAUGUUGAACGUGGCUUGUGGUAGUAAAGGAUAAAGAGAAAAGUAAAGUGUUCUCUAGGAGACACUUGAAUAAGAAAUAGCCACGUGAGGGUUGGUGUAAGGAAGUGAAUUCUCGAAAUGCGAGAGUUGGACUUCGCUCAAAAUCGACAAAUUGUCGAGUGGUUGUGCUUCGGAAAUGCCGAAGAGGUCAAAUACACCAAAGGUGCAUUGCAACGGAUCUGCGAGAGCAAGUGUGCAAAAAUCUGCACUUGGCAGAUUUGCUCUCGGGGACCGAUCCCUGUCAAGGAAGGACCGGUCCCCCGUAGCUGGUUGGUGCGAGGUUGCGUGAUGCAACCGGUCCCUUGGCCAGAGGGACCGGUCCCCCGUAUGCGAAACCGGCGAGAAGAGGAAAUUGGCUAAGUCCUGCGAGAGCAAGCUCUCGGGGACCGGUCUCUAGUGGACAGACCGGUCUCCGGGGGACCGGUCCUCCAGGGACAGACCGGUUCCCGUAAGUGUGUUCAGGCUGAAGGCUCUCGGGGACCGGUCCCUGGCAGGGAGAGACCGGUCCCUCUACACAUAAAAUUUUCCAGGCAGGCUGGGUCAUGUUGGAGGAGUUGGAAUUGUUUGAGUUUCGAGGACGAAACUCUUAUAAGGAGGGGAGAAUGUAACAUACCGAAUUUUAAAUAUAAAAGAGAAAAAUAAAUAAAAAUAGUAUGAGAUACUAUUUUAUUGGAUUUAGAGAAGUGAAAUAUCGGUUGGGAACGACCUGUGCUGAAAUCGGAGCGAAAACAGAAGAUUUAGAAUUUUCUGUUGGAAACGGGACUGAUAAAUUAGCAGAAAAUGCACAGUCUCAGAAAAUUAUAAAAAAUUAGAGGAUAAGUCAGAAAUAUUUUUAUGAGGCUAGAUUUGAAGUUUCAUAUUUUUCUGACGCCCGUAGAGAGAGAAAUAGCAUCCGAAAGCUAUCUGAUAAAGAUUGCAGUUCGGUACAGUUUUCAGUGACCAAACGGGGUCGAAACUGAAAUAUUAAAAUUUCUUUGGACUUAUUAAGUAAAACCGAGCAUGCCUGUCAAAUUUGAGCUCAAACGGACAUUCAGAAGGGCUCCGGCGAAAAAUAAACUGCCCGAAGUGAAUAGUGCGUAGUUGAGGGGCAAAAUGGUAAAAAGGGUUUAAAACCCCUUUUCUUCUUCUCCUCCCAACCGUGGCUGCCCCAACCGCACACACCACACACGCAUACACAAGAACACACACACGCAUGGAAAGGAAAGGAGAGAAAUCCCUUUCUCUCUCUAAAUCUCUCCCAAAAUGGAUGGAUUUGGUGGAGAUUGAAGCUUGGAGGUGGAUCGCCUUCGUCUUCUUCAUCUUCUCCAUGGUUUGGAGCUCAUUUUGAGGUGAGCUUCUUGAGCCCUUUAAUGGUAGAUCUUUAAUGCUUGGUUUAAAUACCUUAUAAAUGGAUUUAGAGGAGUCCUAGCAUGCUAUCUAGAUGAUUAAUGCUUGAAUCAUGGAUCAAUUUAGUGAUUUCUUGCAUAGUUGUAACCUAGGGCUCCAAAAUGCAAACUUUCAAAAUAUGAGGGUUUGAUCUCAUUUGACCCUUCGUAAACCUAAUUGCUAGGUAACGAAACGCGUUGGCGAAGACGGUUCGGCAAUCCGACGAGCCGUUACAAAGUUAUUAAAGAAAUGGACGUUUAGGCUUCGGGUCCGCCGGGAGGGCCGAGGCGACGUCGUAAAAUCAUGGAAAUGGAUUUGAGGCAUCGUGGCACAUAACCGAAGACCUAUAAUUUUCGGGGCUGCGAAGCGGAGCACGGUUGAGGCGCAGUUGCAGUAUCGGGCCGUGCCGGAUACGGGUGCCGCGGGAGGCCGAUUGCAAGUGUCGACAAGCAAUCGGAACGCGAAUUAAGGUGGGUUGUGUUUACCGAAGCGACUAGGUCGCCUUUAUGUCUAAGAAACUAAGAAUCCAUGUUGAUGCAUAUAAAUGUAAAUGAAGCAUGUAAAUGAUGCAUGUAGCUAAAUAAUGCAUGUUGAUAGUAUGAUGUAAAUGCUAAAUAGAAUGCAUUAUGAGCAAGUUACAUAAUGCUAAAUAAUGUAAUGUAGAAAUGCUAGAAUGCAUUAUGAGCAAGUUACAUAAUGCUAAAUAAUGUAAUGUAGAAAUGCUAGAAUGCAUAAUGAGCAAGUUAUAUGAUGCAUGUUUAUAGUAUGAUGUAAAUGCUAAGUAGAUGCAUAUAAAUGAUAUAUGAGAUUAUAAACGCAUGAUUAGCAUUAUGAGAUCAUAGAUGCAUGCUUAGCAUUGUGAGAUUAUAUAUGCAUAUGAACUUGGUUGAUAACUCUAGCUUGAUUAGAGAGAUAACAUUGGAAAAUGAGAAUUGAUAACUCUAGAAUGAGUAGAAUGCUUAAUUGGACAAUUAGUAUGUGAAUUAGAUCGAGUGGCAUCUAACUUAGUGUUAAGGAACAUAGGUCGUGAGUAGACCUAGAAUCAAAUAGAUCGAGUGGCAUCUAACCUAGUGUUAAUAAACAUAGGUCGUGAAAUGAAAAGUACUUAACCUAGAGUCAAGUGAACCUAGGUUGGAAAGAAUAAUGAUCCUAGUGUAAUAAACCUAGGUUAAGAAUGUGAAAGCAAUAAACCUAAUGGGUGAACUUAGGUUGAGUAAAGGCUUAGACCUAGAGAGGUCAGUUCCAUAGGGUUAAGACCAACCCCUAUGUGAUGUGAAAUGGAUUCCGGAAUCCCAAGGCUAAAAGGAUACACCCAAAGUGGUGUCGGGUGUGUGCGACGAUUUCGCCGCCCAAGGGCUAAAGAACCAUUGUCGUGGCGUGUGCGACGAUUUCGCCGCCGGAUGGUUAGCCAGUUUGUGGAUCCUACCGCCUGUUGACUGAACCACUGUCGUGGCGUUUGUGCGACGAUUUCGCCGCCGGGUGGCUAAGUCAUGGACCUAGGCCGUUGUUGGGUGAGGUGCGAUUCGUUCGCCGCCAGACGGCUAGGACAGGAGUACGGUGAGCUGUUGCCAGCUGAGGUGCAUGUGAGAGUUCCUUCACCUCGAGCUAGACAGUGCGCGGACUAUCCGCGAUUGAUUGACUGAAGACCGAGUCGGGUGGCAUAGAGAACUAAGGUAAGAGAAACCUUAGGAAAGAAUGGCCAGUAGAAAAGUGCGACAAAGUGUUAAGAAUAAAGAAUAAGUAAAGAAUAAAGAUCGGCUAAGGAAUAAGAAUAGCUGAUUAGUAAAGAAAGGUUACAAGUAAAGAAUAGCUAAGAGCUAAAAGUAAACAUUAAAUGACAAGAGUAAAGAAUGAUUAAGAAUAUAAGUAGCGUUAAAGUAACCUACUUGCAUGAUUACAGGUAUUGCAUAUUGCAUUUCGUGAGGCAUGACAUGUAUUUCAAUUGAAUAUAUAUAUCUGUUGUAUAUUGUUGAACUAACAUGUUGCAGUGCCUCGUUAGACCUGUUGGUUGAGCUGGUUCUCUUGGGUGGCUAAACCCACUGAGGACUAUGGACAAUAGUCUCACCCCCGUGUUGCUGUUUUGGGGGUACAGGUACACACGUGUGCGGCGCGGCGGCGCAAGGCGAGGGCGUAGUUCUGCAGAUAGCGCCCUACCCCAGAGACCAGAGCUAGCAGUACCCCAUCUAUAUAGCUUAGGGGUAAAGGAAAUGAAAAGAAUACAAUGUAUCAAACUUGUAGUAAGUAAAUGUUGUAAUAACUUAGAUUGCAUUUGGAUGAAAAAGAAUGGAAACUGUGAUGUAAAAACUAUGAAAGUGAAUGAAUGUAAUAACUUAGGAUGUGUUUAUGUUGUAUGAUACCUUCCACUUGCAAUCUUGAUUGAUAUCUGUUCCUGGUUGGAACCUUCGUGAAUUGUAUUGAUUGCGAUGCUUUGAAUGUACAGGGGAGACUCUGUCCGUAGUACAAGGGAAACCUUGUCCAUUCGGCGAUGUCGGCGGCGCCGGGACCUUGGCCAAAUAGGCGGGUGGUCGCGGGCUGUGACAAUCAAUCCUACAGUUGAGGAUUCCAAGUUCAAUCCAUUCCUUAACUUUAAGGAAGACUAUGCUCAAUUGACCCUUAGUACUAAGGUUGAAUGUCAUAAUAUCUCAAUCGUUCUUGUUCUUGCAUUCUUUACUACCACUAAUGUCAUAUACACUAUCAAGUUCUUGAACUCAUGCCACACUUGUUCUCUAAAUGCUAGAUUUUUGUCCUCAUGCCAAAUGCCACACUUGUUUACUAAGGAUUCUAGACUCGUCGAUGUCAUUUGCUAGAUCUAUGUCAAAGUGUCACUUUUCGUUUACUAACCCUUCUAGGUUCUUGUCACAAUCAUGCAUACAUAGGGAUCAUCAUUCUCACACCCUUACAAAUAUUUAACAUGCAUUUGAAUUUACAUUAAACUAUAACAAAACUCACAAUUGACCCUAUUAUGCAAGAUGCUCAAAAAUGCACAUAUACUCAAAAUAUAACAAUUAGACAUAGAAAGACUUCCGAUGUCCUUGGAAUGCACCACCUACCUUAGAUGGUUACAAGGAUACUUCGGUGAAUUUCUUGGAAUUUUUUUGAAACCCUAAUCCGCGUGCUGCGGCUAUCUGUACGGAAAACGAUGUUUUUGUCAAUAACUUUGCAUACACUCGUCGGAUUGUCGAACCGAGCGUUCCAACGCGUUUAAAAUACCCUCAAUUAGGUUUCUACAUGAUCAAAAUAUAUCAAAACCUAACUUGGGCAAAACCCCUCUUUGGGAUGCCCUAACAUGCAAUUUUUGUAUUUUUCCUAGAUUGAUCUCAUUACUAAGAAAAAGAAAGCUUAGAAUCACUUGGGAAGCUUUCUAACAAGGUUUCUAAACUUUUAGAACCAUCCCUAGAGCAUCUACUUUGAGCCCUAGUGAUCCACCAUGAGAGGGGUCCAAGAAAUCCAUGUUUUUCAUGGAGUCAUGGUUCUUAGAGGAUUUCCUCACUUGUAGAGAGAUCAAGACCCAAAAAUCUAAGGUCUAAACCCAAACCCUAAACCCAUUUUUGCAUAAGGACUCACUUUUGCCCAAGCUCCAUCAAAGCCUACUUGUUGGAGAGCUUCUAGGAACACCAAAGCCACCAAAAUCCAUUUCUCCAAGCUCUUCUCCACCUUCUCCAAGCUCUAGGGCUUGCUUUCUAGAGAGAGAAAGAGAGGAAAAUGAGAGAGGGGGAUGUGUGUGGCUGUGGGAGGGAGAGAGAGAGGUGUUGGGGAGUUAACAUGUUGCUACAAUUGCAACUAGGCCCUCCAUUUCUUUUUAUUUGCGUCAGACCUCACUGGGCUGUCUGGGGCCUCUUGUACCGGUACAAGGAUUCUUGUACGGGUACAAGGCCAAACAGUGAGCCAAACCCGAGAGCUGCCUCUUGGGUUCGCAGGGUCUGUACCGGUACAAGGGGUCUUGUACCGGUACAAGGCCUGGACUGCACCAACCCGAGAGCUGCCUCUCGGGUUCGCAGGGUCUGUACCGGUACAAGGGGUCUUGUACCGGUACAAGGCCUGGACUGCACCAAUCCGAGAGCUACUCAGCUCGGAUUGCGCUGGUUGUACCGGUACAACUAUCACCUUGUACCGGUACAACAGCUCCAGAAUGUUGUUUUAGGCUUCGAUUCGACUCUACCUCGCGUCGGUCGAUGCUAAAACCAUUCUAAGUCUUCCCAAACUCAUUUUUAGCCCUUCCAACAUUAUUGGAAUGCAAGAGGAACUUGUCUAUCGUUUUCUUUCGAUGCUUUAACCAAUUUGGUCAAAGUUCAAUUAUCGUUUUCGGGUUUCGAUAUGUUACAUGCAGCUUGCCUCCUUCGGACCUGUCGAUCGAGCUUUUCCCUUGAGCGGCCGUACCCACUGGGAACUAUGGAGUUAGUUCUCACCCCACGUUGCUUUUGGGGUGUUACAGGUUCACACGUGAGCGGCGCGGCCACGCGAGGCGAGGGCGUAGCUCCGUAGAUAGAGCCCUACCACCGUGACCAGAGAUAGCAGUACCCAAGUCAGCCAAGCUAGGGGUUGUAGAAAAUGAAAGCAAAAUGAUCAAACUUGUAAUAAUCUUGUGAUGAUUGAUUGUAUUCGGAAGUUUAAAUGUAUUUGAAAGGAAAAGAAAUGUAAAUAAUAUCAAGUGAAUGAAUGUAAUAACUUAGGAUGUGUUUAUGUUGUUUGAUACCUUCCUUAUGCAAUCGUUGUAUGUUGAAUACUGUUCUUGGUUGGAACCUGUUGUAAUUGUAUUGAUUGCGACGCCUAGGACGUACAGGAAAAACUCUGUCCGUUCGGCGGUCUGUCGGCGUGCCGAACCUGACCAAAUAGGCGGGGCUCGGGGCGUGACAACACUGGACCUUUGUAAAUUGUGAGGUUCGAGUGUUUGAUUUGUAUUCUGAGCUUUUCCACAUUUUUUGGAAGGUCGUAGAUAGUGUUUCGACCUAUGGCUCGCAUCUCGAGAAUCGAGAUUUUAAACUUAGCGCUAAGGUCUCCAAAGAGAAGGACUUAGGCUGCUCUCGGGUUGGUUUCUGCAGAGUGUGGUACCGGUACAGCAUUGAGCUUGUACCUGAAUGAGGGGUGGUACCGGUACAACAUCGGGUUUGUACCGGUAUCAGGCAUCGUUUUCUGCCAACCCGAGGCUCGGGUUUGCGUGCACAGUGUUUGAUACCGGUACUCUUGCCCGAUGGUACCAGUACGCAGUGCAGUCCGCAAACUGCUUGUUUUGGGAGGGUGUUUUUACAAUUAUAGCAUCUCUAUAUAACACCCCACGCCCCUUAGGUGUUUCCCUGAGCUUGGAAACACAGGAGGAAGGGAGGAAAGCCCUCCACUUCCACCCUUUGGUUUUUUUUGAUUUAUGUUGGAAUUUUUCAGAUUUAAUCCUCUCUUUUUGUCCCUUUUUGCUUGUUGGUAGUAUUUCCACCAUGGUUGAAGGCUUGGAGCUUGGAGAAAAGCUUGUUGGAGGAGAGAUCUUCAACCCUAGUUGAUUUCAAGCCUUAUUUGGAGCUUCUCUUGAGGUUAGUAAUAUAUUUCUUGCUUUAGAUUCAUGUUUUAAUUGAUUUCUUGAGAUGAAACCCUAGAAUGUGAAACCUAGGGUUUAUUUUGGGGGUUUUUAAUUUGUAGCUCUUGGGGCUCAAUUGAUAGGUGUAGAACAUCUCGUUGGGAUAGAUUUGAAGGGCUCUAGCAUCCAUUUGAAAUUUGAGAGGGAUUUUCUAAACAUUAGGUGAGUUUUGCCUUAUUGUUGGAUUUGUUAAAGAUGAACACUUUGGGUGUUCGGUUAUUUUGUUUAACCCUCUUAGAAUUCUCUUUAGGGAGCUAAGAGACUUAUGGACAACUUCUUUUGUGUAAACGAAAGGGUUGCAAGAAGCCUCGGUGAGUUUGACCUCACCAAAAUGAGAAAAUCUCACCUAUGUCUUUUUAAAUAUUAUAAAAUAGAAAAUCAUGCAUAUUCAUGCUAGAUAAGGCAUAAAUGAAUUUUAGAAUGCUUGAAAUACACAUAUUAUAUACAAUGCAAAUUUGUACCUCUAUGUAGUAGAGAGUUAUAUAUGUCGGAAUCUUGCAUAUAAAUAGCAUUCUUAUAUGUGGCUUGGGAUCAUGUUUCAUGUAGUGAAAAUGACAAGUAUAAUAUGCCCUUGGACAUAGAUCUUAUAUUGGACAUAGGAGAAAACAUAAUGCCAUAAAGAGGCAUUAGACUAUAGUGAUGUGUGAAUUAGUAAGCUAAUGUCAUAAAGUGGCAUUAGGCUUAGAAUGUACUUGGACAUAGUAAGCUAAUGUCAUAAAGUGACAUUGGGCUUAAAAUGUGAUUGGACUUAGUAUGUUAAUGUCAUAAAGUGACAUUGAACUUAAUAUAUAGUUAAACCUUACCUUGGAACAUUAAACUAGACCGUUGGGGUUGCUAAUGAUUAUUACCAUGUUAGAGACAUGAUGACCGGGUUCUUGAGAUGACGACUAUGCUUGCUUACUAUUUGUGCUCAUUCGCACAUACUUGUGAGGGUCGCUCCCUACAAGCCGGCACUCCGGAGUUAGCCUACACGACAUAUACUCGCUUGUGCGGUAUUGAGAAGCCUACGGGGCCGGGUAGGAUAGACUCAUUCCUAGAGUGGGAAUAUUGAGCUACCACUGGCAUUUAGGCGGCACAAGCCGGACUACACUUGUAUAGGUCCUAAAAUGAGAUUGGAUAAUGACAUUAAACCAUAAUAUGACAAUCACUACUAGAUAGUUGUAGUAGUUGAAUUUCUUGAACAUGCUUGUGGCAUAGUAUUAAACACUUGGUUGAUAUACUUGGACAUAUAGUAUACUUGAUAGGGUUGCUUGUUGCAUUAUAGUAUACUUGUAUGACAUGUUUAAAGCACACUAGUAUAUAUUCUAAUGAUAUACUCAUCCAUGUUAGGCUAGCUAAUGCAAUUGUGGAACUUCAUGUUAUGUAAUGGCAUAGUAGCUAACAAAUUUAAUUCAUGUUUUAUUAUUCAUACUAUCGCUUCCAAUUAAGUGUUAGAAUUAUCUACUUUGCUUUUGGGCCUAGUGGUGCAUUUGCUAAGGUCAGUAAUUGUCUACUGGGAACUAUUAAUUAUAGUUCUCACGCCCCCUGUUUGUUAUUUUCUUUCAGAGCCUUCCACCUCGAGAGAGGCUCGGGAUCACGGGAAAGGGAUCGCCUCGAGCUAGUUAGCGAGAGAUUGUGCGAUAGGUGGUCCACCUCUCUUUUUAUUUCAUUUUGGAGAGGUUGAGAGAUCUAUACCAUUUUGUAGAGACCACCAUUUUGGAUAUUAUAGCACUUGUAUUUGAGACUUUUGAUGGAUUACUCUAUGUCUUAUCUUACUGGGUUUCCACCCUUCAUGAGCUUUGUAGUGAAGAAUAUUGAUUAAAAAUGUGGAUUUGCAAGCUAGCUAAAUACUAAUUGGUCAUAGUCACAAUUCUCCAAAUGUUGGUGGAUUUGAUUAGUUGAAUAAGAAGUUAAUUAAAAAUAAAAAAAAACUAAUUGGUAGAAGCUCUUUACGACAACAUCAUUCCUUUUCCAUUCAUUGUUUCAGGAGGGUAUAUUUAGGGUUGUAGCCGCAAUACUUCAUAUAGGAAAUAUCGACUUUUCAAAGGGGACAUAUAUAAAUAGAUUCAUCUGUAAUAAAGGAUGAGAAAGCAAGGUUCCAUUUGAACACAGCAGCAGAACUUCUAAUGUAUGUCGAUUUCAUUCCAGCACCAUAGGCCAUUUUUUUUCUAUAAUUUCCGAAAGCUAGAUGUUUGUAGUUUAUUAUUCAUGUAAUUCAUCAGCUAAUGUUUUUGCAGGUGUGAUAGCGAGAAACUAGAGAAAGCACUGAUAACACGUGUGAUAGUAACACCAGAAGGAGUUAUUACUAGAACGCUUGACCCUGCUUCUGCAAUUGUUAGCAGGUAUGGAUUAGCAAAAACAAUAUACUCCCGGUUGUUUGAUUGGUAAUGUGUUUGAUUAUAUAAGAUUAGUUCCUACACAAAUUAAAGAGUAUUUCGUUAUUGAUGCAAAGCAAGAAAUUUUAUUCCUCUUUUGUUAGAAACUGACUAUUAAUGAAUCCUAUGGAUGAAAACAGUGACUGGAAAAGCUAUAGGUAUUUAUUGCAAUUAAGUUUAGUGAUAUCUGUUAUUUGUAUUUAUUACACUAAAAAGCCCAGUGGUUAGGCAACAAUUAUAUAAAUAGAUAAAAAAGUGAUUAAUAUAAACAAACAGAGCAUAUGCAUGAAUAUCCAAAGCUAAUUAAAAAUGAAAAAAAAAAUCAAAAAAAUGAUCAAAACUUACCAAAAGAAAGUAGUGAGAAAGAAGGAAAGUGGACGAACGAUUCCUCCCAAGCGGCGAUCGUGUGCGGCUCGGAGAAGGUCCUCCUAAGCGGCGAUCGCGUGUGACACGACGAAGGUCCUCUGUAAGGUACCGGACUUCUAAAAUUAUGAAGUUACGGUGUACAUUUAAAUAGUUCCGGUGAGGUUGCGGUGGAAUGUAACAUACCGGAUUUUAAAUAUAAAAGAGAAAAAUAAAUAAAAAUAGUAUGAGAUACUAUUUUGUUGGAUUUAGAGAAGUGAAAUAUCGGUUGGGAACGACCUGUGCUGAAAUCGGAGCGAAAACAGAAGAUUUAGAAUUUUCUGUUGGAAACGGGACUGAUAAAUUAGCAGAAAAUGUACAGUCUCAGAAAAUUAUAAAAAUUGGCGGGGAUGUUAGAAAUAUUUGUAUGAGGCUAGAUUUAAAGUUUCAUAUUUUUCUGACACCCGUAGAGUGAGAAAUAAAAUCCGAAAGUUAUCUGAUAAAGAUUACAGUUCGGCACAGCUUUCGGUGACCAAACGGGGUCGAAACUGAAAUAUUAAAAUUUCUUUGGACUCUUUAAGUAAAACCGAAUAUGACUGUCAGAUUUGAGCUCAAACGGAUAUUCAAGGAGCUGCGAAAGAUAUCAGAUUUGGAACUCUGAUUUGAUGUGAAUGUUUAUGUAUAUUGACAGGUUGUUGACUAUAAGUAAGAAGGUACUAGCUUCUUCCUUUCACGCCGGACCAUCCACCCUAACAAGCACACGUUCACAUGGGAAUCGAGCGUCGGUGUAGUGAUGAGAACCAUCCUUUUUCUCUCUCUAAAUAUCGUUCUCAGUCUCUCAUAUAUUUCUGCCCAAAUUGCGGCGGGUGGGUGGAGAUCGAGUUGUGAACUCCUUUUGGAGGCGCCGGAUGAAGCGUUUCGUACGCGCGUUGGAGCGGCGUGUUUUCGUCUUUUGCGGGUUCACUUGGGGUAAGCUUUUGAGGAUUUGCUUUAAUCUUAGCUUUAAAGUGUUCUGUAGCCUCUAAUGAAUCUUUGUUUGGCAUGUUGAUCCAUUUUAUAUUGGAAUUAUUUGGAGGGUUAAUUGUACGUUAGGGCACUCAAAUUGCAACGUUUUUAAAAAUAUGACGGGUUGGAUCUCAUUUUGCUUUCAGUAACUAAUUGUAGUAACGAAAAAGGUUGGCGAAGACGGUUCCGAGUAAUCCGACGAGCGUUACAGAAGUUAUUAAAGAGAAUAGACGUUUAGCUUCGGCGUCUGUGCGGGAGGGCCAAGGCCAGACGUCGUAAAUCAUGAUAAUGGAUUUAAUGGCAUCGUGGCACGUAACGAAGACUAUAAUUUUCGGGGGGUCGCGAAGCGGAAACACGUGGGCGCAGUUGAGUAUCGGGCGGCGGAUACGGGUGGCGAAAGGGCCAAUUUGCAGAGUGCUCACAAGCAAUCGGAACGCGAAUGGAGGUGGGUUGUGCUUACGAAUGCGACUAUGUCGCCUUGUCUUUAGCAUUAUCUCUAUUGAUUGCAUGUGCAUGUAGGACAAGACUAAAUGGUGAUAAUAAUAUGCAAUUAAUGUAAAGGCUAAUGUGAAGAAUGGGCAUGUACAACGAUUGCAGCUGACUAAAAUAUAGCUAAGUAGCGCAAGGGUGAGAAUGUAAUUGCUAGUAAUGUUAAGAGUGAUAUUAAUAAUAAGUUGCAUAGAUAGAAAUGUCAAUGUAUGAUGAGGAAUUAGAUGAGUAUCUCGUAGUAAGCCGAGUGAUGGACAAAUAGGAGUUGCUCAAGGUAUAAUGAGUGGCAUUCACUAGUGGUAAAGAAUCAUAGUGUGAUGUGAACAUAGUUUGGAAAAGAAGAAUGAUCUAUGUGUAAAUAAACUAGGUUUAUAGAAUGUGAAGCAUAAAUAAUGGGUGACUUUAGGGUUGAGGUAAGGGUUAGUAUCCUAGCAGAUAAGUUUCCAUUAGGGUUGAAGACCAACCCUUGUGAUGAUGAAAUGCGAUUCCGGAAUCCCAAGGCUAUAGGAUUACACCAAAGUAGGUUGUUGAGGGUGUGCGACGAUUUCGCGCCAAAGGGCUAAAGAACAUUGUACGUGGCAGUGUGCGUACGAUUUCGCGCCGGAAUGGUUAGCCAGUUGUGGUUAUCUACGCUGUUGACUGAACACUGUCGUCGCGUUUUGCGCGAUUUCAGCCGGCCGUGGUGGCUAAGUCAUGGACUAGGGCCGAUUGUUUGAGAUGAGUGCAUUAGUUCGCCGCCAGACGGCUAGGACAGGAGUACGGUGAGCUGUUGCCAGCUGAGGUACAUGUGAGAGUUCCUUCACCUCGAGCUAGACAGUGUGCUGACUAUCCGCGAUUGAUCGACUCAAGACCGAGUCGGGUGGCAUAGAGAAGUAAGGUAAGAGAAACCUUAGGAAAGAAUGGCCAGUGAAAAAGUGCAACAAAGUGUAAAGAAUAAAGAAUAAGUAAAGAAUAAAGAUCGGCUAAGGAAUAAGAAUAGCUGAUAAAGUAAAGAAAGGUUACAAGUAAAGAAUAGCUAAGAGCUAAAUGUAAACAUUAAAUGAUAAGAGUAGCGUUAAAGUAACCUACUUGCAUGAUUACAGGUAUUGCAUAUUGCAUUUCGUGAGGCAUGAUAUGUAUUUCAAUUAAAUAUAUAUCUGUUGUAUAUUGUUGAACUAACAUGUUGCAGUGCCUCCUCGGACCUAUCGGUC